AAUAUUGGGCAAUGGGCGCAAGCCUGAUCCAGCCAUGCCGCGUGUGUGAUGAAGGCCUUAGGGUUGUAAAGCACUUUCGCCGAUGAAGAUAAUGACUGUAGUCGGAGAAGAAGCCCCGGCUAACUUCGUUCCAGCAGCCGCGGUAAUACGAAGGGGGCUAGCGUUGUUCGGAAUUACUGGGCGUAAAGCGUACGUAGGCGGAUUGUUAAGUGAGGGGUGAAAUCCCGAGGCUCAACCUCGGAACUGCCUUUCAUACUGGCAAUCUUGAGUCCGGGAGAGGUGAGUGGAACUCCUAGUGUAGAGGUGAAAUUCGUAGAUAUUAGGAAGAACACCAGUGGCGAAGGCGGCUCACUGGCCCGGAACUGACGCUGAGGUACGAAAGCGUGGGGAGCAAACAGG
This 399-nucleotide ribosomal RNA is filed under the name uncultured bacterium. Its description in RNAcentral is "partial 16S ribosomal RNA". It matches the Rfam family "Bacterial small subunit ribosomal RNA", at positions 360 to 776 of the family's 1533-position model. The record is from RNAcentral.